GUGUCAGCAGCCGCGGUAAUACGAAGGGGGCUAGCGUUGUUCGGAAUUACUGGGCGUAAAGCGCGCGCAGGCGGCUCUUCAAGUCAGGGGUGAAAGCCCAGAGCUCAACUCUGGAAUUGCCUUUGAGACUGUAGAGCUUGAGUACGGGAGAGGUGAGUGGAAUUCCCAGUGUAGAGGUGAAAUUCGUAGAUAUUGGGAAGAACACCGGUGGCGAAGGCGGCUCACUGGCCCGUUUCUGACGCUCAGGCGCGACAGCGUGGGGAUCAAACAGGAUUAGAUACCCUGGUAGUCC
RNAcentral lists this ribosomal RNA (292 nucleotides) under uncultured bacterium. Its description in RNAcentral is "partial 16S ribosomal RNA". It matches the Rfam family "Bacterial small subunit ribosomal RNA", at positions 505 to 796 of the family's 1533-position model. The record is from RNAcentral.